Molecule: ribosomal RNA, 513 nt
Filed under: Candida albicans
Lineage: Eukaryota; Fungi; Ascomycota; Pichiomycetes; Serinales; Debaryomycetaceae
Description: eukaryotic LSU rRNA
Rfam family: 5.8S ribosomal RNA (bases 143-296)
Source: RNAcentral
AUGCUCUGACUGCUUAUUGCACCACAUGUGUUUUUCUUUGAAACAAACUUGCUUUGGCGGUGGGCCCAGCCUGCCGCCAGAGGUCUAAACUUACAACCAAUUUUUUAUCAACUUGUCACACCAGAUUAUUACUAAUAGUCAAAACUUUCAACAACGGAUCUCUUGGUUCUCGCAUCGAUGAAGAACGCAGCGAAAUGCGAUACGUAAUAUGAAUUGCAGAUAUUCGUGAAUCAUCGAAUCUUUGAACGCACAUUGCGCCCUCUGGUAUUCCGGAGGGCAUGCCUGUUUGAGCGUCGUUUCUCCCUCAAACCGCUGGGUUUGGUGUUGAGCAAUACGACUUGGGUUUGCUUGAAAGACGGUAGUGGUAAGGCGGGAUCGCUUUGACAAUGGCUUAGGUCUAACCAAAAACAUUGCUUGCGGCGGUAACGUCCACCACGUAUAUCUUCAAACUUUGACCUCAAAUCAGGUAGGACUACCCGCUGAACUUAAGCAUAUCAAAAGCCGGAGGAAUUA